RNAcentral lists this ribosomal RNA (309 nucleotides) under uncultured eukaryote. RNAcentral describes it as "partial 18S ribosomal RNA". It matches the Rfam family "Eukaryotic small subunit ribosomal RNA", at positions 1470 to 1796 of the family's 1831-position model. The record is from RNAcentral.
CCCUUAGAUGUUCUGGGCGGCCCGCGCACUACACUGGCACUCUCAAUCAGAGCCUGGAUCUAACACUUUGGGGUAUUCUAUGAAGUGGUGUUGUGACUGGGAUUAACCCUUGCAAUUAUUGGUUACGAACGAGGAAUUCCUUGUAAUCGCGGUUUAUCAGCCCGCGUUGAAUGCGUCCCUGCCCUUUGUACACACCGCCCGUCGCUCCUACCGAUGGAUCGUCCGGUGAAGCUCAUGGAGGGGCGGUUGUCUCAGCUGCCGUCGAAGUGAAAUGGACCUCACGAUCUAGAGGAAGGAGAAGUCGUAACA